Triticum aestivum (bread wheat) is the source of this 471-nucleotide long non-coding RNA. RefSeq lists it as uncharacterized. The transcript has 2 exons. The record is from RefSeq and is a predicted model, not a curated record. Lineage: Eukaryota; Viridiplantae; Streptophyta; Magnoliopsida; Poales; Poaceae.
GUACUCAUAGCUAGAGACGUUGUCGAGCAUAGGAGAGAAAAGGAGUCCCCUCAUGGCGCUCACCAUGAACAAGAAGGCGACGCCUAUGUGCUUGGUGGCUCUCCUCCUCGUGAUGUCCGCCGCUCUCCUCUCGUGCCACGCGUCAGGGAGGGACAUAGGCCCAGCGGAGCAAUGGGCCAAAUACUGCGUCGCCAAACCGACCUGCAAGACGGCGCCGCAGGCGGCCCUCGACGCGUGCAGGAACGACUGCAACUUCUUCGGCUACCCUGCGAACAAGUCCUACUGCUCGGCCGCCGAAGGCGGCAUCUGUUGCUGCAUCAGGUAGUAGAACCUGGCGACGGCGGGCACGUGUCGUCACGUGCUAGCUAGAAAGCCAACCGUGAAUCAGUCAGUUCCCUUUUUUUUUUGUAACGGAGAAAUCAAGCCUGCAUUGUUUAUGCAAGAGGAAAAUAACAAGGUGGUCGAGAGGAA